GACCCUAAUAGAUGCGUAUUUUGGAAUUAUUCCUGAUUAUGGUUCUGUAAAAAACAUGAUCCACUUGGCCCAGGUUUUUAAAUCAAGAGAACUGAAAUAUUUUGACUAUGGCAGUAAGAACAAAGCUAUAUACAAUACGACCACUCCUCCAUUCUAUUAAAUCGAAGACAUGGUUGUGCCAACUGCUGUGUGGUAUGGUGGACAUGAUAUUGUAAUAAACAGAAAGGACAUCCAGCUGUUGCUUCCUCGAAUCUCUAAUUUAGUUUUCCAUAAGAAUAUUCCUGAAUGGCAGCAUGGCGAUUUUUUAUGGGGUCUGGAUCCUCCAAAGAAACUAUACCCUGAUAUAUUCUAUC
This is a non-coding RNA of Podarcis muralis (Common wall lizard), 353 nucleotides long. The record is from RefSeq and is a predicted model, not a curated record. NCBI's taxonomy places the organism in Eukaryota, Metazoa, Chordata, Lepidosauria, Squamata, Lacertidae.